This is a long non-coding RNA of Selaginella moellendorffii, 297 nucleotides long. RefSeq lists it as uncharacterized. The transcript has 2 exons. The record is from RefSeq and is a predicted model, not a curated record. Lineage: Eukaryota; Viridiplantae; Streptophyta; Lycopodiopsida; Selaginellales; Selaginellaceae.
GUGAUGUCAAGCUGAAGAGCGCAUCUGGCAAUUGAGGCACACCUGAAUAUCGAAGGUCAAGCACUUGAAGGUUUCUCAGCUUGGAUAUGCUCUCUGGAAUAAAACGUACCAAAUUAUAGCAUCUAUUCAAGCUCAAUACCUUGACAUUUUGGAUGUGAUCUAUAAUAAGACUGACAUCCACACCAGAAAUUCCAUGACAUCCAUCGAGAAGCAAGACAUCUCGCACAUGAAUGUCAGACAAAAGGCUGCUUGUAACCUUCUUUCCAAUGAAUGAAACUUUAGAAAAUGUUGGAGAAA